Drosophila miranda is the source of this 551-nucleotide long non-coding RNA. RefSeq lists it as uncharacterized. The transcript is spliced from 3 exons. The record is from RefSeq and is a predicted model, not a curated record. NCBI's taxonomy places the organism in Eukaryota, Metazoa, Arthropoda, Insecta, Diptera, Drosophilidae.
GUCGAAAAAGAACCGAAAAACGAAGCCGCCUUCGGUUUGAUUUUGAAGGCGGCAAAUAACCGCAAUUCCGUGGAGUUACAGUGCCCACUCAGCUAGUUUUUACCGAGCCACGACGUGCAAUAAGCACCGAAAUGGUACGUGCAAAUAUAUAUUAUAUAUUUCAAAUAAAAUGAUGAGCAAAAGGCAUUUGCGUAGACUCCGUAAGAGUGAAAGGGAAGCUAACAUUGCAAAGUUAGCGUUGUGCAGGAAAGAUAACAGAUAACAGCAAUGAAAUCGAUUCUCCAGCCAGCUGGCGUUUUGAGCGGCUUAAACUUUAUUUUGAGUGAGGAAAUUGUUCUAGCCUAUAACGUAAGGGAAGAAGGCCCUUAGGACCCACAAAGAAUUUUUUGCAGCUUUGCUAGAAUGUAUUCCGCCUGGCGAUGAGCCCCCGAAAACACUGUGCGGAAGGCAAUGCAAAGGAUGAAGAAAAGGGUGUUUAAGAAGAAGUGUCUUGCCAAAAACCAGGAGUAGGCUAAGCAUCAUAUAAUUAAAAAUUAUUCGUUAUAAUGAAA